This 86-nucleotide microRNA precursor is filed under the name Paramuricea clavata. Lineage: Eukaryota; Metazoa; Cnidaria; Anthozoa; Malacalcyonacea; Plexauridae. The record is from RNAcentral.
ACGCAACCUAACACAAAAUUCAGUUAUCUGCUAGCAGAUAUCUGAGUUAUCUGCUAGCAGAUAACUGAAUUUUGUGUAGGUUGCGU